GUCAUUUUAGCCAUUUUAAAUUUGAGAAAAAUAUCCGCGGUCACAAUGUAUUUAAUGUUAAUAAUUAUAGGCCUUCAAGACGGAGCGUUGGCUCACCCCGAACAGCAAUCUCAGCUUGUUUUUGCAUAAAAAUUGUUUCCAGGUUCAAGCAAUACUGAUGUUUCUUAAAGUAAGGAAAUCGAAGGAAAAGGGGUAAUUUUUAGC
Molecule: long non-coding RNA, 204 nt
Filed under: Mytilus galloprovincialis (Mediterranean mussel)
Lineage: Eukaryota; Metazoa; Mollusca; Bivalvia; Mytilida; Mytilidae
Source: RNAcentral